Molecule: ribosomal RNA, 432 nt
Filed under: uncultured bacterium
Lineage: Bacteria
Description: partial 16S ribosomal RNA
Rfam family: Bacterial small subunit ribosomal RNA
Source: RNAcentral
ACGAACGCUGGCGGCAUGCCUAACAUAUGCAAGUCGCACGAGACCUUCGGGUCUAGUGGCGCACGGGUGCGUAACGCGUGGGAACCUGCCCUUAGGUUCGGAAUAACUCCCCGAAAGGGGUGCUAAUACCGGAUAAUGUCUUCGGACCAAAGAUUUAUCGCCUUUGGAUGGGCCCGCGUUGGAUUAGCUAGUUGGUAGGGUAAAAGCCUACCAAGGCGACGAUCCAUAGCUGGUCUGAGAGGAUGAUCAGCCACACUGGGACUGAGACACGGCCCAGACUCCUACGGGAGGCAGCAGUGGGGAAUAUUGGACAAUGGGCGAAAGCCUGAUCCAGCAAUGCCGCGUGAGUGAUGAAGGCCUUAGGGUUGUAAAGCUCUUUUACCCGGGAUGAUAAUGACAGUACCGGGAGAAUAAGCUCCGGCUAACUCCGUG